This 253-nucleotide ribosomal RNA is filed under the name uncultured bacterium. RNAcentral describes it as "partial 16S ribosomal RNA". It matches the Rfam family "Bacterial small subunit ribosomal RNA", at positions 524 to 776 of the family's 1533-position model. The record is from RNAcentral.
UACGUAGGGUGCGAGCGUUAAUCGGAAUUACUGGGCGUAAAGUGUGCGCAGGUGGCCGCGCAAGUCGAGUGUGAAAUCCCCGAGCUUAACUUGGGAAUUGCGCUCGAAACUACGUGGCUCGAGUGUGGCAGAGGAAGGUGGAAUUCCACGUGUAGCGGUGAAAUGCGUAGAGAUCGGGAGGAACAUCCGUGGCGAAGGCGACUACCUGGACCAGCACUGACACUGAGGCACGAAAGCGUGGGGAGCAAACAGG